AGUGAACGCUGGCGGUAGGCCUAACACAUGCAAGUCGAACGGCAGCACAGAGGAGCUUGCUCCUUGGGUGGCGAGUGGCGGACGGGUGAGGAAUACAUCGGAAUCUACUCUGUCGUGGGGGAUAACGUAGGGAAACUUACGCUAAUACCGCAUACGACCUACGGGUGAAAGCAGGGGAUCUUCGGACCUUGCGCGAUUGAAUGAGCCGAUGUCGGAUUAGCUAGUUGGCGGGGUAAAGGCCCACCAAGGCGACGAUCCGUAGCUGGUCUGAGAGGAUGAUCAGCCACACUGGAACUGAGACACGGUCCAGACUCCUACGGGAGGCAGCAGUGGGGAAUAUUGGACAAUGGGCGCAAGCCUGAUCCAGCCAUACCGCGUGGGUGAAGAAGGCCUUCGGGUUGUAAAGCCCUUUUGUUGGGAAAGAAAUCCAGCCGGCUAAUACCUGGUUGGGAUGGCGGUACCCAAAGAAUAAGCACCGGCUAACUUCGUG
RNAcentral lists this ribosomal RNA (490 nucleotides) under uncultured bacterium. Its description in RNAcentral is "partial 16S ribosomal RNA". It matches the Rfam family "Bacterial small subunit ribosomal RNA", at positions 29 to 507 of the family's 1533-position model. The record is from RNAcentral.